Molecule: long non-coding RNA, 1365 nt
Filed under: Mytilus galloprovincialis (Mediterranean mussel)
Lineage: Eukaryota; Metazoa; Mollusca; Bivalvia; Mytilida; Mytilidae
Source: RNAcentral
AGAUCUGCUACUGAAUAAUAAUUUUAGUUAUUUUUUGUUUUUUCCCUUUUUUAUGUUAGAAUUUGAAAUCAAAAUUGAAGUAAUGGAGUUAGUUAUAUGUUUUUUUGUGAGAAGUAAUCUGAAUCAGUGUUCUGUUUCAAUGAGGACAUUUAUCUUUGGAACAAACCUGUAAACUUAUUAUUAUUUCCCUGCAUGAUAGUUGUUACGUUAGUCAAGCUAAGAAAAGACAAUCCUAUCUUCUCCAUGAAAGUGUACCUGUUCAAGUACAGAUACCCAAGAUUUAUGAAUUCUAAUAUUUUGUUACUUAAGGCGGUACCAAACACCUUGACUAAAAUUAAUUUGACUUGUUAAUUUUAAUAAAACUUUGAUCCAGUGACUAAAAUAUGAAAAUUUCAAAAAAAUUGAACCAACCACUUUCUGGUAAAAGUUUCAUUUGAUAUAUAGUAGUUUGAAUAACACUGAUUUUGAUCAUUGAGAAGCUUAUAUUUCCUUAACAAUACAAUGUGAUUAAAACAUCUAGCUGAUUUCUACAGAGUUAUCUCCCUGUAGUGUUAGAUACCACCUUAAUAUGCAUUUAUUAGGAUAUACACUUCAAUUCAAAUUAACUUUUUUUUAUGCUUAAAGUUAAUCUGAACCUGAUCAGAUGGUUGGUCUUGGGGUGUAAAUUUCAUUUUUUUCUACACAAAAGUGUGGCUGAUCAGUGACCAUAGGAUUCAUUCAGAAAAAUAGUACUCAGUACUCUUUGCUUCUAUUCUUAUAAACUAGGUAGUGGUUGUUCAGGGGAUUGUAUGAGAUUUUCUCUUAAUCACUGUAAAAGGAUGGAAUGCCUAUAACAAAAUGGCAAGGAGUUUAUCUACCUGAAGAUAUGCUAUGAUUUUCAUUUUUGUUUUAUUAUAUUGCAUUAAUUUUAAAUAUGUGUGAAUAACUGAAUUCAUCCUAGCCUGCCGUUUUGUGAAAGAAGCUACUAAUUAAGGAAUAUUGUAAUUUUCAUUAUUUUUUUGGGAAUUUACAAUAAAUUGUAUCAAUGAAAUCACCACAUCCCACCAUACUCAUUUAAUCAUUAAAAAGUAGAUUAAAGUUUAAAAAAAAAGUUUUUAUAAUUAUUUUUUAUACUGAAAUUGGUAGAUUUGGCAUUUGAAUAAUUGAUUCAUAAACAGUAUUUGAAAGCAGCAACUUAUUACAUAACAUACACGUAGCAAUGUUUGAAUAAGGUUUUUGAUUUAGGGAUGACAUCAAAAGAUCGAUGUAGGAUAAAAAACUUAAAUCGAAUAGUUUGGGGUGGGGGGUCAACAUUGCUGCAAGUUUUGUUAAUCUAAAAUCGAUUUUACAUAUAUCCAUAUAGGUAAAUCAAUUUUUCCCAAAUUA